RNAcentral lists this ribosomal RNA (468 nucleotides) under uncultured bacterium. RNAcentral's name for it is "partial 16S ribosomal RNA". It matches the Rfam family "Bacterial small subunit ribosomal RNA", at positions 28 to 507 of the family's 1533-position model. The record is from RNAcentral.
GACGAACGCUGGCGGCGUGCUUAACACAUGCAAGUCGAACGGAAAGGCCCUGCGUUUGUGGGGUUCUCGAGUGGCGAACGGGUGCGUAACACGUGAGUAACCUGCCCUUGACUUUGGGAUAACUUCAGGAAACUGGGGCUAAUACCGGAUAGGAGCUCCUGCUGCAUGGUGGGGGUUGGAAAUUUUCGGCGGUUGGGGCAGGACUCGCGGCUUAUCAGCUUGUUGGUGGGGUAGUGGCUUACCAAGGCUUUGACGGGUACCCGGCCUGAGAGGGUGACCGGCCACAUGGGGACUGAGAGAGGGCCCAGAGUCCUACGGGAGGCAGCAGUGGGGAAUAUGGCACAAUGGGCGGAAGCCUGAUGAAGAAACGCCGCGUGCGGGAUGACGGCCUUCGGGGUGUAAACCGCUUUCGCCUGUGACGAAGCGUGAGUGACGGUAAUGGAUAAAGAAGCACCGGCUAACUACGUG